Molecule: ribosomal RNA, 253 nt
Filed under: uncultured bacterium
Lineage: Bacteria
Description: partial 16S ribosomal RNA
Rfam family: Bacterial small subunit ribosomal RNA
Source: RNAcentral
UACGUAGGAGGCAAGCGUUGUCCGGAAUUACUGGGCGUAAAGCGCGUGUAGGUGGUGGGACAAGUCUGCUGUGAAAGCGCCUGGCUUAACCGGGCGAGGUCGGCGGAAACUGUCCGACUCGAGGACGGUAGAGGGGGGUGGAAUUCCCGGUGUAGUGGUGAAAUGCGCAGAUAUCAGGAGGAACACCAAUGGCGAAGGCAGCUCGCUGGGACGUUACUGACGCUGAGACGCGAAAGCGUGGGGAGCAAACAGG